AUGACACUAGAGUACACAUGUACUUAAGUUAAAAGGAGCAAGUGCUUCACUAUGAGAUGGACCUGCGUUGUAUUAGCUAGUUGGUGAGGUAACGGCUCACCAAGGCGACGAUACAUAGCCGACCUGAGAGGGUGAUCGGCCACACUGGGACUGAGACACGGCCCAGACUCCUACGGGAGGCAGCAGUAGGGAAUCUUCGGCAAUGGACGGAAGUCUGACCGAGCAACGCCGCGUGAGUGAAGAAGGUUUUCGGAUCGUAAAGCUCUGUUGUUAGAGAAGAACGGUAGUGGGAGUGGAAAAUCCAUUACGUGACGGUAACUAACCAGAAAGGGACGGCUAACUACGUGCCAGCAGCCGCGGUAAUACGUAGGUCUCGAGCGUUGUCCGGAUUUAUUGGGCGUAAAGCGAGCGCAGGCGGCUCUAUAAGUCUGAAGUAAAAGGCAGUGGCUCAACCAUUGUAUGCUUUGGAAACUGUAGAACUUGAGUGCAGAAGGGGAGAGUGGAAUUCCAUGUGUAGCGGUGAAAUGCGUAGAUAUAUGGAGGAACACCGGUGGCGAAAGCGUCUCUCUGGUCUGUAACUGACGCUGAGGCUCGAAAGCGUGGGGAGCAAACAGGAUUAGAUACCCUGGUAGUCCACGCCGUAAACGAUGAGUGCUAGGUGUUAGGCCCUUUCCGGGGCUUAGUGCCGCAGCUAACGCAUUAAGCACUCCGCCUGGGGAGUACGACCGCAAGGUUGAAACUCAAAGGAAUUGACGGGGGCCCGCACAAGCGGUGGAGCAUGGGGUUUAAUUCGAAGCAACGCGAAGAACCUUACCAGGUCUUGACUCCCUCUGACCGCCUAAAAAUAGGAUUUCCUUCGGAACAAAGAAACAGGUGGUGCAUGGUUGCCCCACCUCGGGCCGGAAAUGUGGGUUAAGUCCGGAACGAGCGCACCCCUAUUGUAGUGGCAUCUUAAGUGGGCCUCUAGGAACGGCGGAAA
This 979-nucleotide ribosomal RNA is filed under the name Streptococcus iniae. RNAcentral's name for it is "bacterial SSU rRNA". It matches the Rfam family "Bacterial small subunit ribosomal RNA", at positions 173 to 1157 of the family's 1533-position model. Lineage: Bacteria; Bacillati; Bacillota; Bacilli; Lactobacillales; Streptococcaceae. The record is from RNAcentral.